RNAcentral lists this small nuclear RNA (104 nucleotides) under Cercocebus atys (sooty mangabey). Lineage: Eukaryota; Metazoa; Chordata; Mammalia; Primates; Cercopithecidae. The record is from RNAcentral.
GUGCUCACUUUGGCAGCAUGUCUAAUAAAAUUGGAACGAUACAGAGAUUAGCAUGGCGCCUUCGCAAGGAUGACACGCAAAUUCAUGAAGUGUUCCAUAUUUUU